Molecule: long non-coding RNA, 255 nt
Organism: Gavialis gangeticus (Gharial)
Lineage: Eukaryota; Metazoa; Chordata; Crocodylia; Gavialidae
Exons: 3
Source: RefSeq, a predicted model, not a curated record
ACUGGCGCCUUUAAUAAAAGUAUCAUGGUGCGAGGCAUCUUCUCUUCUACUUAGCGAGUCUUAUCACUUGCCAUUACCUAGGCAUGGAGUCCAGGAACAGCAGUAAUCCAUGUUCCUCCUCAAAGCUUCCUUGAGCCCACUACCCUUGGCAGAGCUGUCUUCACAAGAACAGGUUUGGAAGGUGUAUGCUGAUGGAUGUGCACACUGCAUCCUAUCAAAGGAUGACACCAUGGCUGCACUGCCUGGGCAGUCACC